This 242-nucleotide long non-coding RNA is filed under the name Carica papaya (papaya). RNAcentral describes it as "long non-coding RNA (CPAP_LNC005850)". The record is from RNAcentral. Lineage: Eukaryota; Viridiplantae; Streptophyta; Magnoliopsida; Brassicales; Caricaceae.
ACAGUAUUUACCUCACUCAGUUAUAGUGUCGGCCUUGCUUCAUAGUGAGGAUUAGGGAGUCUCAAUCCAGAGAUCCCCAAAUCCUAAAACAAAGAGAAAAGAUCUCUCUUGAAGACUAACUUUAGAAUUAUAUACGAUGAUACAGUAUGAUUCAAAAACCAUUUAUGGGUACCAGAGAAUUCAAAAUUUAGACAGGAUAUCUUGAAAGAGGCACAUUCUUCUCGACUAUCUAUUAAUCCUGG